This 517-nucleotide ribosomal RNA is filed under the name uncultured bacterium. RNAcentral's name for it is "partial 16S ribosomal RNA". It matches the Rfam family "Bacterial small subunit ribosomal RNA", at positions 28 to 523 of the family's 1533-position model. The record is from RNAcentral.
GACGAACGCUGGCGGCGUGCCUAAUACAUGCAAGUCGAGCGGACUUGAUGAGAAGCUUGCUUCUCUGAGAGUUAGCGGCGGACGGGUGAGUAACACGUAGGCAAUCUGCCUGUAAGACUGGGAUAACUACCGGAAACGGUAGCUAAUACCGGAUAGGUGAUUUUCUCGCAUGAGGAAGUCAAGAAAGACGGAGCAAUCUGUCACUUACGGAUGGGCCUGCGGCGCAUUAGCUAGUUGGUGAGGUAAUGGCUCACCAGGGCGACGAUGCGUAGCCGACCUGAGAGGGUGAACGGCCACACUGGGACUGAGACACGGCCCAGACUCCUACGGGAGGCAGCAGUAGGGAAUCUUCCGCAAUGGACGAAAGUCUGACGGAGCAACGCCGCGUGAGUGAUGAAGGUUUUCGGAUCGUAAGGCUCUGUUGUUUGAGACGAAUGUGCCUGUUUCGAAUAGGGAUAGGUAAUGUCGGUAUUAAACGAGAAAGCCACGGCUAACUACGUGCCAGCCGCCGCCGUAA